GCGGGAGUAGCUCAGACUGGUAGAGCGAUUCCUUGCCAAGGAAUAGGUCGCGGGUUCAAGUCCCGUCUCCCGCU
RNAcentral lists this transfer RNA (74 nucleotides) under Anaerolineae bacterium. RNAcentral describes it as "tRNA-Gly". It matches the Rfam family "tRNA". Rfam says of the family: Transfer RNA (tRNA) molecules are approximately 80 nucleotides in length. Their secondary structure includes four short double-helical elements and three loops (D, anti-codon, and T loops). Further hydrogen bonds mediate the characteristic L-shaped molecular structure. tRNAs have two regions of fundamental functional importance: the anti-codon, which is responsible for specific mRNA codon recognition, and the 3' end, to which the tRNAs corresponding amino acid is attached (by aminoacyl-tRNA synthetases). tRNAs cope with the degeneracy of the genetic code in two manners: having more than one tRNA (with a specific anti-codon) for a particular amino acid; and 'wobble' base-pairing, i.e. permitting non-standard base-pairing at the 3rd anti-codon position. Lineage: Bacteria; Bacillati; Chloroflexota; Anaerolineae. RNAcentral also lists the same sequence under 2 other names. The record is from RNAcentral.